This 253-nucleotide ribosomal RNA is filed under the name uncultured bacterium. RNAcentral's name for it is "partial 16S ribosomal RNA". It matches the Rfam family "Bacterial small subunit ribosomal RNA", at positions 524 to 776 of the family's 1533-position model. The record is from RNAcentral.
UACGAAGGGGGCUAGCGUUGUUCGGAAUCACUGGGCGUAAAGGGCGCGUAGGCGGCCGAUCAAGUCGGGGGUGAAAGCCUGUGGCUCAACCACAGAAUUGCCUUCGAUACUGUUUGACUUGAGACCGGAAGAGGUAAGUGGAACUGCGAGUGUAGAGGUGAAAUUCGUAGAUAUUCGCAAGAACACCAGUGGCGAAGGCGGCUUACUGGUCCGGUUCUGACGCUGAGGCGCGAAAGCGUGGGGAGCAAACAGG